This 406-nucleotide ribosomal RNA is filed under the name uncultured bacterium. RNAcentral's name for it is "bacterial SSU rRNA". It matches the Rfam family "Bacterial small subunit ribosomal RNA", at positions 355 to 775 of the family's 1533-position model. The record is from RNAcentral.
UGGGGAAUAUUGCACAAUGGGCGAAAGCCUGAUGCAGCAACGCCGCGUGAGCGAAGAAGGCCUUUGGGUCGUAAAGCUCUGUCCUAGGGGAAGAAACAAAUGACGGUACCCUGGGAGGAAGCCCCGGCUAACUACGUGCCAGCAGCCGCGGUAAUACGUAGGGGGCAAGCGUUAUCCGGAAUUAUUGGGCGUAAAGCGUCUGUAGGUGGCUUUUUAAGUUCGCCGUCAAAUCCCAGGGCUCAACCCUGGACAGGCGGUGGAAACUACCAAGCUGGAGUACGGUAGGGGCAGAGGGAAUUUCCGGUGGAGCGGUGAAAUGCGUAGAGAUCGGAAAGAAGACCAACGGCGAAAGCACUCUGCUGGGCCGACACUGACACUGAGGGACGAAAGCUAGGGGAGCGAAUGG